RNAcentral lists this ribosomal RNA (446 nucleotides) under uncultured bacterium. RNAcentral describes it as "bacterial SSU rRNA". It matches the Rfam family "Bacterial small subunit ribosomal RNA", at positions 84 to 525 of the family's 1533-position model. The record is from RNAcentral.
CUCUCUUGAGAGCGGCGGACGGGUGAGUAAUGCCUAGGAAUCUGCCUGGUAGUGGGGGAUAACGCUCGGAAACGGACGCUAAUACCGCAUACGUCCUACGGGAGAAAGCAGGGGACCUUCGGGCCUUGCGCUAUCAGAUGAGCCUAGGUCGGAUUAGCUAGUUGGUGGGGUAAUGGCUCACCAAGGCGACGAUCCGUAACUGGUCUGAGAGGAUGAUCAGUCACACUGGAACUGAGACACGGUCCAGACUCCUACGGGAGGCAGCAGUGGGGAAUAUUGGACAAUGGGCGAAAGCCUGAUCCAGCCAUGCCGCGUGUGUGAAGAAGGUCUUCGGAUUGUAAAGCACUUUAAGUUGGGAGGAAGGGCAUUAACCUAAUACGUUAGUGUUUUGACGUUACCGACAGAAUAAGCACCGGCUAACUCUGUGCCAGCAGCCUCGGGUAAUA